UACGGAAUGUGCAAACGUUAUUCGGAAUCACUGGGCUUAAAGAGUCCGUAGGCGGCAUGUUAGGUGAGGUGUGAAAUCCCCCGGCUCAACCGAGGAAUUGCGCUUCAAACCGGCGCGCUAGAGGAAGAUAGAGGUGGGCGGAACUGAUGGUGGAGCGGUGAAAUGCGUUGAUAUCAUCAGGAACACCGGAGGCGAAGGCGGCCCACUGGGUCUUUUCUGACGCUGAGGGACGAAAGCUAGGGGAGCGAACGGG
RNAcentral lists this ribosomal RNA (253 nucleotides) under uncultured bacterium. RNAcentral's name for it is "partial 16S ribosomal RNA". It matches the Rfam family "Bacterial small subunit ribosomal RNA", at positions 524 to 776 of the family's 1533-position model. The record is from RNAcentral.